Molecule: ribosomal RNA, 468 nt
Filed under: uncultured bacterium
Lineage: Bacteria
Description: partial 16S ribosomal RNA
Rfam family: Bacterial small subunit ribosomal RNA
Source: RNAcentral
GACGAACGCUGGCGGCGUGCUUAACACAUGCAAGUCGAACGGAAAGGCCCUGCUUUUGUGGGGUGCUCGAGUGGCGAACGGGUGAGUAACACGUGAGUAACCUGCCCUUGACUUUGGGAUAACUUCAUGAAACUGGGGCUAAUACCGGAUAGGAGCUCCUGCUUCAUGGUGGGGGUUGGAAAGUUUCGGUGGUUGGGGAUGGAAUCGCGGCUUAUCAGCUUGUUGGUGGGGUAGUGGCUUACCAAGGCUUUGACGGGUAGCCGGGCUGAGAGGGUGACCGGCCACAUUGGGACUGAGAUAAGGCACAGACUCCUACGGGAGGCAGCAGUGGGGAAUAGUGCACAAUGGGCGGAAGCCUGAUGCAGCAAAGCAGCGUGGGGGAUGACGGCAUUCGGGUUGUAAACCGAUGUCGCCUGUGACGAAGCGUGAGUGACGGUAAUGGGUAAAGAAGCACCGGCUAACUACGUG